RNAcentral lists this RNase MRP RNA (272 nucleotides) under Peromyscus maniculatus bairdii (prairie deer mouse). Its description in RNAcentral is "RNase MRP (ENSPEMG00000002725.2)". It matches the Rfam family "RNase MRP". Rfam says of the family: RNase MRP is an enzymatically active ribonucleoprotein with two distinct roles in eukaryotes. In mitochondria it plays a direct role in the initiation of mitochondrial DNA replication. In the nucleus it is involved in precursor rRNA processing, where it cleaves the internal transcribed spacer 1 between 18S and 5.8S rRNAs. Lineage: Eukaryota; Metazoa; Chordata; Mammalia; Rodentia; Cricetidae. The record is from Rfam by way of RNAcentral.
GCUCGCUCUGAAGGCCUGUUUCCUAGGCUACACACGGGGGACUCGUUCCUUACCCUUCCGCCUAGGGGAAAGUCCCCGGACCAUGGGCAGAGAGUGCCGCGCGCACACGCGCGUAGACUUACCUCGCUUGCACGGUUAGUCCGCCAAGAAGCGACCCCCGUGCCGGGGCGAGCCGAGCGGCGUGCGGCGGGGCGUCAGCCGUCAGCUCUCCUAGUGACGCAGGCAGUGCGCCGCGCGCGCACCAACCACACGGGGCUCAUUCUCAGCGCGGC